Non-coding RNA from Pelobates cultripes (western spadefoot toad), 342 nucleotides. The record is from the annotation of a GenBank genome assembly. Lineage: Eukaryota; Metazoa; Chordata; Amphibia; Anura; Pelobatidae.
GUGACCGUGGCGGUGGAGGAGGAGGAUGAGGUAGCCAACACUGUUUUUAUAUAUAUAUAUAUUUUAAUUGGGGUAGCCCCCAAAAUAUUGGGACAUAUAAAAAAAACAACUCUGUUCCGCAGAGUAGCUGUUGACAUUAUAGUUGCGCAGGAACUUUGUUGACUCUAGAGAACUUCGGGCAAAUCGCACAUCCCCGUGGCGACGACUUUGCAUGCGGAUGUCAUCCAUAUCAACUUUCUAUGCCAGUUUCUGCGCCUGCCAUGGUGACCACGGGUAACGGGGAAUCAGGGUUCCAUUCCGUACAGGGACCCUGAGAAACAGCUACCACAUGCAAGGAAAGCA